RNA transcript from Pomacea canaliculata, 3522 nucleotides. RefSeq lists it as uncharacterized. The record is from RefSeq and is a predicted model, not a curated record. NCBI's taxonomy places the organism in Eukaryota, Metazoa, Mollusca, Gastropoda, Architaenioglossa, Ampullariidae. The transcript has 6 exons.
CAACCGCAGGCAAGUGAUCUGUUAAAGCAUGUCAAAACGUGAUGUGUCUUUUCACGUUUCAAACAAUACAUCACAAUCCCAAACAAGGCCUAACCCCAGCUAUGAGUGUUGCGAGCGUUUCAGGUGGUGGUGAUGGUGUGUAAUCGUUGUUGCGGUGACUGUUUUCAUGUCUUCCGUUGUCUUUUUAUUCGUCGUGGGAGAAAACAUCCAGUAACGCUAGAUUUUGACUUACGAAGUUCAGAUCCCACUGUUUUUUUGCUGCUGUUUUCUUCCACCCCUUCACUCACCACCGCUUAAUGGUAAAAGUUAGUCACGUGUUUUUUUAUUGCGAUCUGUGGUAACAUUUAGUCAGACUUGUUCAGUUGUAUCCUCCGCUCACAGCGCCCUUGAAUUAUACUCAGCUCCAUUUUUCACCAGUGAUGUGAAGGUCUGGUGGUAAACAUGCAGAACAGUUGCUCUCGUCAUUCAUGUUAUUAAGAGAAGAAAAAGAAAAAUAUACAUACAAGUGUAAGUACUGAGUUGUUGUGUUCGAGCACUUGAAUACUUCAGUCACUCGAUUAAGACGCUGUGAGUGUUGUCUCACUUAAGGCCUUGCCACAUUUUACGACCUUAGUUUUUUGAGCUACGGACACUUGGGUCAUUCUUUGAAUUGUACGUGGGUUCUUCGUAUAAAUAUUUUGUCACUUUUGCAUUAGUAUUUUUAUUUCCAGUUACAUGCAUCCUCCAAUGUUAUAAAUGAGAGAGAGUAAAUCGAAAACCUGAAUUUGUUUAGAUGUGUCCUUCACUGCCUUUCCAUUUUAGAAUUUUUUUAAAAAUAAAUGUUGGAUUGCAUGAAUUAUUGCAUUUACAUUCCACCACGUCUAUACGUCUAUUUAGUUAUACAAUAUUUCGUAUUAUUUGUUCUUUCUUCACAUUCUUCACAUUCCCAGAUGUGUGUCUUGUAGCGCUUUAAUCAAAGUAUCAAGCCACAGUGUUCACAAUUUUUUUUUUUUUUUUUUGCGCAACAGUCACAAGUCGUUUUUCCUUAUCAUCCUUAUCGAGCUGUCACUAGUGGGUCCUCACUUUAAAGUCUGUUGCAUCAAUUUAAGCAUGCUGUAUAUGAUAAGCGAUAGCAUGAGAUCUGUUUCAGUGUUGCCUCUCCUGUUUCCUAACAGACGCCCACAACGGGCGUAGAUCGCGUCUGCUGGAGAGAGAAGGAUGACUCACUUUGUCGCAAAGGUCCCUCGGUUGUCUGUCUACUUAUAACCGUGGAAAGAAGAACAAAAGAAACCUUGACUUUGGGCAAACAAGACCCCGGGUGCAAUCUUUGUUUCGCCCAGCUAACGUGGAUCACAGCUCACAACACUUCUGUCCAGCAGUCUCGACCAUCAAAAGCUCGCCGGCAUGGAGUGUUCUGAGUGCAAAGGGCGAUUACGAGAACCCAAGGUGUUCUGCUGCACCAGGCUGUGCAAGCGUGUCUUCAGAAGCACAUCGACAGUUCCGGCGAGAGGGCAGUCACGUGCCUGGUCUGCCGCGCAUGCGUGACGGUGCCGGACAAAGAGCGUCCCAAAGACACUGGGCUGAGCAGUUCCGCACCGAUGGCUUCCUGCUGCGCUUGCAGGGGGCAGGGGGUCAGAUGUCGCGGAAACACGACUGUUUCGUGUGCGCAGGCUCCCGCCAUGAGAGCAAGGAGGCCACCGUCUACUGCUUCGACUGCGACAACUACUUCUGCGGCGCCUGCAACCAGGUGCACCUGCAGCUGCGGGGAUUCGACUCCCACUCCACGGGCGUGCUGGAGGAGUUGCUCCUGAAGGACAUGAUGACAAGACGGCGCGCCUUCUGCUCCGUGCACACCAGCAGUCCACGUGGACAGCUUCUGCAGCGAGUGCAACGCGCUGCUGUGCAAAAACUGCGUGCACGAGAAGCACCUGAACUGCCUCGUGCAGCCCAUGUCAAAGAUCGCGAAAGAAAAGCGACAGAUGCUUGUGAUCUGAAGAAGAAGUUGGAGCAGGUCAUCAAACGAGUGGAAGAUGAAAAUGAAGACCUGCAAGACAGAGAGACCUGGAUGAUGACAUGUGCUCAGCAACGACGAGAAGAGAUAGAGCUGGCCUUCAGUCGCAUCGAAGCUGCUGUCGCAGAAAGGAAAGCUCGUCUCCUUGCAGAAGUCGAAGACAACAUUUCUAAUCACAAAGAAUGUCACCUGAAAGGAGAACCAUUCCAGACUUUGGUUGGCACCUUAAAGAGAAACUGUGCGCUGGCUGAUGAAAUACUGGGUUGUGGAUCUGACUUUGACAUCUUGGAAUCUGCCGACGAUUUGGCGCGCCAGUGCCGCUCGCUCCACAAGAUGAGCCAGAAGGAAUCAACGUUGGGUGCUGACAUCCGAAGAACAAAAUCGCCCGUGGAUUCCUUGUCAGUCAACACGUUAAUCACAAUGAUCGGGCACUGGGCAAUAAUAAGAUUGACCAGCUAGUGGCCUUCAAGACUAGGGAGGUGCCUGUUGUCAUGCGCGAGGACAAAGCAUCGCCCAAAAUCGCGAAAAUCCUGGUGGUCGACAGCAGCAUCCUUCUUGUAGCGGACAGCGCCAACAGGUGCAUCAAGUCCGUGGUGUCGCUGCCAGGUGAGAGGGACUGCCGGCUACACCGCUUGGACCUGGACACCCGACCACGAGGGUUGACGCUGCUGAAGACCCACAUUCGCAGUCGUGUCUGGUCGCCAGAGUCUGCACAUCAUCACCAUCACGGAUGAGCAGCUUUCCAUUAAGGUCACAGUUUCAACCCAACAGGACUACUGGGAUAUCGCGUCCGUCAACUCCAUCAACGUGGCCGCUGUCUGCAAGCAGCCGCCCUGCAUCGACAUCAUCGACAUCGCCGGCACCCGCCUCCGCACCGUUGAGCCGGUCGUGUCGGGCGUGAUGUUGUUCAAGCAGCCAUCGGUCGUCGCCGCUGGACCAAACGGUACAAUCUUCGUGACUGACCGCGAGAACAAGACUCUCGCGUGUCUCGACCUCCAGGGUCGCGUACGCUUUGUGUAUCGAGGCGACGAACGAGAAGAACUAACAGAUCCCCGAGGCGCAUGCGUGGACGAAAGAGGCUGCGUGUUUCUGUUGGACUCGAACGACGUAUAUGUCAUCUCCUCCCAAGGGAAGCAAAUGUCCAAGGUUCUGUCCGGGCUUCUCAAGCCAAAGACGAUAAGCGUCGGCGCGGACAAUGUUAUGGCCGUAGCGAUGGAAGAACAAGGGAUCGUGCUUUUUGCCCUGAAUGAUAUGAAAGGCUCACAUGUCUGAAAACCCACUCUUUGGCACUCAUAUAAGUUGAAAAUGAAACGAUUGCCAACGACUUACUUCCCAAGUUUGAUUUACAUAAAUGUGUUUGUUCAGAGGCUAUGAUACCAUGCAAACUGCUCGGCUUUCAAGAUUAAGCAACUGUUAUUAUUUUUACCCUGAAUAUAUCUGGUGACCUCUCUCACUCUCAGCCACUAAAAUCGCUUCUAAAUUUUUCAAUAAAAGGCACAUUUCUUUUUUUGUGUGUGAAAAAGCGAAACUUU